ACGUGACGUAUUGCGACGUAUCGCGACUUUUUUUCCAUUGCCGGUAAUGGGGUGGGCGCAUUUUUGCUAUGAUGCAUCCUGCCCAUGGGCCGGCAGUUUGACACCUGUUAUAAGUAAUCUUUUCUGAAUCCAUUGUUGAUCACCAUCUAAGUUGUAACAAAAACAAAGGAAGUCAGAAGGAAGCAGGGCAUCAACCAGGCAGAAGCAGGUAGCGGUGGCCAAGUCCAGAGGCCAAUUAUGCAAAGCCUCAAGACACUAGAUCAAGAUUUCCAUGGCAACUCCAGACUGUUUCCACAGAAAUCCUGAAGGAUGCUAUGAUCAGUAGUGAAUACAGUUGAGAAGACUUAAGACCAGAAGCAACACAUUCUCUCCCCUCAACUGGGCCAUAACAAAAGUCAUCCAUUAGAGUGAGAUGGAUCAUCUCAUCUUAUGCUUGGAUCGGAAUUCAGAACAAGAAGGCACUAGGAGUGAUUCCAUUAACUUCACUACCACAGAUGUUACGUUCACUGAUGUAUGGUUUCCAGCUUCUUCCUUAUCCCUUCUUAUGGAUGGGUACAACAUUAGCUGUUAACCAGUCAUGGGGAACUUCACCUGUUAGAAAAGACUGGUUAAACAGAUCAGUUAAUGAUCCAGCAAGCACACCUAGAAGCUUCCUCAGAACUUGUAAUGAAUAUCAUCUGGACUUAUUAUUUUAUUAAGCUUUAAGCGGGCUAGCUCACCUGCCACCUCCAAAAACACCGAAAAGAACCUGCAUUGCACGGAUUAGUAGGAUCCUCCAACAUGUUUUAGUUACUGGCAUCUACUUCUGAGAAAACUGUGCAAAAGUAUAAGGAUUUGUAGUGGUAGGUGACAAUGACCUUGAGAGAUAAAGGGAAAAGAUGCUGCCUAGGAAAUAAAAAGAGGGCGGAGCCUGC
Molecule: long non-coding RNA, 914 nt
Organism: Crotalus tigris (Tiger rattlesnake)
Lineage: Eukaryota; Metazoa; Chordata; Lepidosauria; Squamata; Viperidae
Exons: 3
Source: RefSeq, a predicted model, not a curated record